CCAUCGCCGGCCUAUUACUCAGUACGGGUCUCCUCUCAGAAUGAGAAGGAUUUGGCCAGAGUCCACCUCGCUUGCCAAGUGCGGAUUGGCAGACUUUACACACCAUUGAGAACAUUAUGGAGAACUCUCAGGCAUGCAGGUUUCCUUUCGAUGUUUUCCUUCACCGUUAAAGCAAGUGAUAUUUAAUUGC
Long non-coding RNA from Maniola jurtina (meadow brown), 190 nucleotides. RefSeq lists it as uncharacterized. Lineage: Eukaryota; Metazoa; Arthropoda; Insecta; Lepidoptera; Nymphalidae. The transcript has 3 exons. The record is from RefSeq and is a predicted model, not a curated record.